Molecule: transfer RNA, 82 nt
Filed under: Candidatus Nesciobacter abundans
Lineage: Bacteria; Pseudomonadati; Pseudomonadota; Alphaproteobacteria; Holosporales; Holosporaceae
Rfam family: tRNA
About the family: Transfer RNA (tRNA) molecules are approximately 80 nucleotides in length.
Source: Rfam by way of RNAcentral
GCCUCUGUGGCGGAAUGGUAGACGCGGCAGACUCAAAAUCUGCUAUUCCUAGAAUGUGAGAGUUCGAAUCUCUCCGGAGGUA